Molecule: ribosomal RNA, 253 nt
Filed under: uncultured bacterium
Lineage: Bacteria
Description: partial 16S ribosomal RNA
Rfam family: Bacterial small subunit ribosomal RNA
Source: RNAcentral
GACAGAGGUGCCGAGCGUUAGGCGGAAUCACUGGGCUUAAAGCGUGUGUAGGCGGACCGUUAAGUACCUUGUGAAAUCCCACGGCUCAACCGUGGAACGGCUGGGUAUACUGGCGGUCUUGAGCGGCCUAGGGGCAGAUGGAACAAGUGGUGGAGCGGUGAAAUGCGUAGAUAUCACUUGGAACGCCAAAGGUGAAGACAGUCUGCUGGGGGCCUGCUGACGCUGAGACACGAAAGCCAGGGGAGCGAACGGG